This 502-nucleotide ribosomal RNA is filed under the name Ralstonia mannitolilytica. RNAcentral describes it as "bacterial SSU rRNA". It matches the Rfam family "Bacterial small subunit ribosomal RNA", at positions 1 to 482 of the family's 1533-position model. Lineage: Bacteria; Pseudomonadati; Pseudomonadota; Betaproteobacteria; Burkholderiales; Burkholderiaceae. The record is from RNAcentral.
UCCGGAUCCGUUNCGCAGAGUUUGAUCGUGGCUCAGAUUGAACGCUGGCGGCAUGCCUUACACAUGCAAGUCGAACGGCAGCGGGGGAGAAGCUUGCUUCUCCUGCCGGCGAGUGGCGAACGGGUGAGUAAUACAUCGGAACGUGCCCUGUAGUGGGGGAUAACUAGUCGAAAGAUUAGCUAAUACCGCAUACGACCUGAGGGUGAAAGUGGGGGACCGCAAGGCCUCAUGCUAUAGGAGCGGCCGAUGUCUGAUUAGCUAGUUGGUGGGGUAAAGGCCCACCAAGGCGACGAUCAGUAGCUGGUCUGAGAGGACGAUCAGCCACACUGGGACUGAGACACGGCCCAGACUCCUACGGGAGGCAGCAGUGGGGAAUUUUGGACAAUGGGCGAAAGCCUGAUCCAGCAAUGCCGCGUGUGUGAAGAAGGCCUUCGGGUUGUAAAGCACUUUUGUCCGGAAAGAAAUGGCUCUGGUUAAUACCUGGGGUCGAUGACGUACCGAA